This 93-nucleotide microRNA precursor is filed under the name Plutella xylostella (diamondback moth). RNAcentral describes it as "microRNA pxy-mir-929 precursor". Its record names the gene pxy-mir-929. The stretch from base 11 to 84 matches the Rfam family "mir-929 microRNA precursor family". The record is from miRBase by way of RNAcentral. Lineage: Eukaryota; Metazoa; Arthropoda; Insecta; Lepidoptera; Plutellidae.
CGCAGCCCAUGGAUGUGAAAUUGACUCUAGUAGGGAGUCCGUGUCCACGCCGCGACUCCCUAAUGGAGUCAGGUUGACUUCUAUGAGGCUAAC